Molecule: ribosomal RNA, 251 nt
Filed under: uncultured bacterium
Lineage: Bacteria
Description: partial 16S ribosomal RNA
Rfam family: Bacterial small subunit ribosomal RNA
Source: RNAcentral
UACGGAGGAUGCGAGCGUUAUCCGGAUUUAUUGGGUUUAAAGGGUGCGCAGGCGGAAUGUCAAGUCAGCGGUAAAAUUUCGGGGCUCAACCCCGUCGUGCCGUUGAAACUGGCGUUCUUGAGUGAGCGAGAAGUAUGCGGAAUGCGUGGUGUAGCGGUGAAAUGCAUAGAUAUCACGCAGAACGCCGAUUGCGAAGGCAGCUUACCGGCGCUCAACUGACGCUGAGGCACGAAAGUGCGGGUAUCGAACAG